UUACAACAGCCAUAGUUUAUUAGAUCUUACCUUAACAUGGAUACCUGUGGUAACCUAAGAGCUAAUACAUGCAACGAAGUCCUGAAAUAGGACGCAUUUAUUAGGACAAAACCAAUCGGGCUUGCCUGUUAGUUGGUGGAUCUGAAUAACUAUGCUGAUCGCACAGUCCUCGUACUGGCGAUGUAUCUUUCAAAUGUCUGCCUUAUCAACUGUCGAUGGUAGUAUACACGGCUACCAUGGUUGUAACGGGUAACGGAGAAUUAGGGUUCGACUCCGGAGAGGGAGCCUGAGAAACGGCUACUAC
RNAcentral lists this ribosomal RNA (304 nucleotides) under Enoploides sp. k RJ-2019. RNAcentral's name for it is "SSU rRNA". It matches the Rfam family "Eukaryotic small subunit ribosomal RNA", at positions 101 to 413 of the family's 1831-position model. Lineage: Eukaryota; Metazoa; Nematoda; Enoplea; Enoplida; Thoracostomopsidae. The record is from RNAcentral.